Long non-coding RNA from Oncorhynchus tshawytscha (Chinook salmon), 3652 nucleotides. The record is from Ensembl. Lineage: Eukaryota; Metazoa; Chordata; Actinopteri; Salmoniformes; Salmonidae.
CUUUAUUAACUCAAUGAUAUAUAUAUACAUAUAUAUAUAUUUUUACAUUGUUUGCAAACAUAUGUGAGACACUGUAUUAAUGCCAAAAUAACAUGCAAAACAGGGGUGCUCAAAACGGGGGUCGCCACUGAUACGUCUAUAGAAAGUAUGACACAUUUGAAUAGAUUGUCCUUUUUGAUCUAGGUCAUUUCCCAAGCCCCAACACAUUAAAGGUUUUUUAAUAGAGAAUGGUAAAGUAUCCAUACAUUCUCAGUGUCAGAUGUAGUGGAGCUCCAUCAUUUCCUGAAGAAUCUCCUCCAAGGCCGCCUCCGUGGUCAGUUUGGGAGGCUUGUGACAGCCAAUGAACUACAACAAAUCAAUCCCACUACAAAUCUAGUCAAUUCAGGAAAAGUGGAAAAACUCUGAAAAUGUCCAUUUUUGUCUUGGAUCAUGAUGACUACAAAUGCACAGAAGUGUGAACACAAUUGGGUCCACAGCAAAUAUGGUCGACAGUCCCUCAGAUAAGAGUGACAAGGAGCGGCGUUUGACUAUCAAUUAUUCCUUCAGUACUACACGAGUGUGUAGCGAUUAAUUUAUGAUUGGGCAUUAGAGUAGCCUACCUCCUUGGUGUCCUCCAGUGUGGUGUAUGUGUAGUCUGCAGGGAGUGGAGGUGGCGGCUGGUCUGGACAAAGUGUCUGGUGAGAGCCAGCUGCUGCCUCAGCAUGUUGAGUGCAAACACAGCAGGGCUGUAUGCACUGAGGGCCGGGGAAGAGAGAGACAAUAGAGGUGUGGUCAGUAGGAUGAAGAGCUGGGCCUUUCCUAUUUAGAUAAGAGAUUAUGCUUCAGGCAUUGUGUUAAACAAUGGUGACAAUGAGGUCACCAAAACCAAUGAUGUAUACUGAAAACAAAUAUAAAUGCAACGUGCAACAAUUUCUAAGAUUUUACUGAGUUACAGAUCAUAUAAGGAAAUCAGUCAAUUGAAAUACAUUAAUUAGGCCCUAAUCUAUGGAUUUCACACGACUGGGCAGGGGUACAGCCAUAGGUGGGUCUGGGAGUACAUAGGCCAACCCACUGGGGAGCCAGGCCCAGCCAAUCAGGAUUAGUUUUUCCUCACAAAAGAGCUUUAUUAAAGACAGAAAUACACCUCAGCCCCCACCACCCUUAGGUGAUCCCGCAGGUGAUGAAGCCAGAUGUGGAGUUUCUGACCUGACGUGAUUACAUGUGGUCUGCAGUUGUGAGGCCAGUUGGAUGUACUGCCAAAUUCUCUAAAACGACAUGGUUACACAUUGUUAUGAUAGAGAAAUUAACAUUAAAUUCUCUGGCAACAGCUCUGGUGGACAUUCCUGCAGUCAACAUGCCAAAUGCACACUCCCUCAAAACCUGACACAUCUGUGGCAUUGUGUUGUGACAAAACUGCACAUUUUAUGCCUUUUAUUGUCCCCAGCACAAGGUGCACCUGUGUAAUGAGCAAGUUGUUUAAUCAGCUUCUUGAUAUGCCACACCUGUCAGGUGGAUGGAUUAUCUUGGUGAAGGAGAAACGCUCACUAACUUUUCCUACACUUUUCAAAAACCUUUGACACCACAGGUAGUAUACUAAUGGGCCUGUAGUUAGUCACGUCAGCAGGGUCGCCUGAUUUAAAGAUGGCCGUUAUUAUGGCCGACUUCCAUACCCUUGGAAACACCCAGAGACCAAUAGAUGUGUUGGUGACCCUAGUAAUGGGGCCAAUGAGUGACUCUUUGUAGUUUUUAAGAAAGGUAGAGUCCAGCCCAAACACAUCUUUGGCUUUAGAGUUCUUUAGUGAGCUAAUCACCUUGUUCACCUUUGACUCAGAAACCUCCCUUAUGAUGAAGACAGGUUGAGCAUAAUUUACUAGCACUGAUCACAAGAUACCAGUGGAGGGGUUCUGUGUCAGUACCCUGACAGAGUCAAUAAAGUAGGAAUUGAAGGCUAUUGCUAUUUCGACUGCAUCCUGUGUUGGAUUGUUAUUCACCAUGAUUUCUAGUCUUUUUGCAGUGUUACUAUGGUCUUUCACUGUUAACUUUUUUAGAUUCUCCGAGAUCAGUUUAGAAUUUCCCUUUGCUUCACCAAUUAUGUUAAUAAAAAAGUUUGCCUUGGCCUGUCUGAUUUCUUUCAACACCUUAUUUCUCAACAUGGUAAACCUACGUCUGUCAUGCUCUAAUUUGGAUCUUAGGGCUAUUUUUAGAGCAUAAUCUGGUUCUUUCAUCAAUUUCCUGAUUUCUCCAUUUAGCCAAGGAAGAGUUCUCUUUUGGCCAGGUUUGGAUUUGAUUUUCUUUAGGAAACCAUUUAUUGUAGUCUGGAUUGUGGAUAGAAAAACUUGACUAUCAGCUUCCACGUCUGUAUAGGACAAGAGAUCAUUCCAGUUAAUUCCCCUAAUUGCGUUUUCAAAAUAGCUUAAUUCACUCUUAGGUAUUCUUAGUUGAUCCGGCUUUCUAACAGUAGAGAGGUUAAACCUGCUCUUAGACAGCUUUCUGGCUAUAAGUGUCAGAUUAUGAUCAGAUAGCCCAGUAACCAUAUUGAAUGAUUUAUGUUUAGCUCACAUAAUAUAACUUAAAAGUAUGCAUUAAGGUGUCUGUAAUAGUAUACAUGUGGCAAAAACAAAUGUAGAUAUUAGAUGCAUUUGUAUAGCUCCCUUUAAAAAAAUUACAAUGGUGGGGGAGUGCCAAGAUGGUAUAGGCACUGUGGCUUCAAAACAGCGCCACCUGUCAAUCAUCUAGUGUAUAUAUAAAUCACUGGGUGAAACAGUGCAUCAACUACUGUAGCAUAAAAUCCCAAAACUACUUUAGAAGUUUGAGGCUCAACUGAGGAAUUUUAUUAAAUGGGUUUAUUGUUAUUUUUUUAUGAGCGAGAAUUCUGCCUCUAUCAUCUGAACCGUGGCUGUAAAGACACACCCUCCACGGGCUCUGCACUGACUCGCCAUGGGUUAGAUCCACAUAGGCCAUCCCAACCGCCGGCCCUUGGGCUGCCAUACCUACACAGACAGGGGAAUGACAGACGGGUAGACAUGUAUAAAUUACACUGACUAAAAUGCAAAUGUUUUUCUUUGUUGCAAAUGUUACUGUACUUAGUUAGUGGACAAACUGGUGGACCAGGUGAAGGCCAGUCCGUCUGGUUGGGUCUGCAUCUCGGACAAGGUGAAGGCCAGUCACUCUGAUUGGGUCUGCACUGGGGCCUCUCUCACACACCUCGGCGAGCGCCUCUUCAAAACUUGAGACGGCAUGAUAGUUUCAGCCACAGAGUGGGAGCGAGAUGACCUGGAAUAGAAAGCCCUGCUGCCACGGAAUGAAUCAGCGAUUUUACUGUAGUCUGUGGUUGAUGUGGGACUGAUUGUCCUUCUCUGAGACACUGGAGUACUUGUCGCUCCAAGAUGUGUCUGAGACGCUGUAGUCCAUGACCUCGCUGACCUCCCAAUGCAUCUUUGUCCCCGUCUCUGUCUCCCAAGUGCUCGGAGAUCUCGCUGACACUACUCUGGUCUGUUUCAGUCUUGAUCUCACUCUUGUAGUCCUCCCUGGGCUCUUCUGAUGGGAUCCUCUCCUCACACCUCCAGUACCACUGGCUGUCAUUAUCACACACCUUUUUUUCUUUUUUUUUCUCCGACAUUCCAAGCGUGACCGGUGCGAGGUCGUCCAGUGACAUAAUAUUAAUGUUGAAUUC